This 597-nucleotide ribosomal RNA is filed under the name Rhodotorula mucilaginosa. RNAcentral describes it as "eukaryotic LSU rRNA". It matches the Rfam family "Eukaryotic large subunit ribosomal RNA", at positions 72 to 664 of the family's 3401-position model. Lineage: Eukaryota; Fungi; Basidiomycota; Microbotryomycetes; Sporidiobolales; Sporidiobolaceae. The record is from RNAcentral.
GGAUUCCCCUAGUAGCGGCGAGCGAAGCGGGAAGAGCUCAAAUUUAUAAUCUGGCACCUUCGGUGUCCGAGUUGUAAUCUCUAGAAAUGUUUUCCGCGUUGGACCGCACACAAGUCUGUUGGAAUACAGCGGCAUAGUGGUGAGACCCCCGUAUAUGGUGCGGACGCCCAGCGCUUUGUGAUACAUUUUCGAAGAGUCGAGUUGUUUGGGAAUGCAGCUCAAAUUGGGUGGUAAAUUCCAUCUAAAGCUAAAUAUUGGCGAGAGACCGAUAGCGAACAAGUACCGUGAGGGAAAGAUGAAAAGCACUUUGGAAAGAGAGUUAACAGUACGUGAAAUUGUUGGAAGGGAAACGCUUGAAGUCAGACUUGCUUGCCGAGCAAUCGGUUUGCAGGCCAGCAUCAGUUUUCCGGGAUGGAUAAUGGUAGAGAGAAGGUAGCAGUUUCGGCUGUGUUAUAGCUCUCUGCUGGAUACAUCUUGGGGGACUGAGGAACGCAGUGUGCCUUUGGCGGGGGUUUCGACCUCUUCACACUUAGGAUGCUGGUGGAAUGGCUUUAAACGACCCGUCUUGAAACACGGACCUCCUGUGUGAAGUGAUCC